GAAAUCAAAUGAUUAUAUAUAUUAUGAGAAGACAUUUAUAUUACACUAAAGAGAUUGAAAUAUAAAUCAAAUUGUAAAAGAGAAAUGCUUCCGUCUAAAAUAUGAGGAGAUCUGUGACACUGUCGUAUUGGAGAGUUUCUAUUCGAUUCGUUUAAUUAUGAGUUCAACUUGAAAGCAACGUCCAGUUAAUAAUUCAAUUAAAUCAAAUGCUAAGACCUUCAACUUGCGAAUAUCGCGUUACAGUUGCUUAACUUUGUCUCAAUACAUUUUUAAUUCUACAUUUCCUAAAUAAAUUUUAAGUCAAUUUCCAUUCAUUUGAUAUUAAAUUCUCUCGGAGUUAUAUUAAUUUAAUUUUUAUAAAGUAUCGCCUCAUAAUAAAUCUUCUUAUCGCGUGUCUACACGUGUCUUGUAUUUAUAAGUAAACAUUCAACCUAGGUCUCGAACAAACGAACUGUUUAUUUAGUAAUAUGAUCACUGAGUCUGUCUGUCAGCGCCACAUCAGUGAUAUUAUAAUAUAUUUAUAAUGAUAAUAUUGACAUUUGUUUGUCGCUGUCCGUUAGAGACGCGUCGCUCACAGUCUAUUAUUAUAAAUUGCUCAGAGGAAUCAAUUAAAUUAAUUAAUAAUUGCUCGGUAUUUUCAUUCAGGUUAUAGGUCUGAAGGUAAGGUCUCAAAUUUAUAUAAAUGUUGUUUGAUUAAAAUCAUUAGUCGUAAUAUUCACAGAGAAAAGCGCAACUUGUCUGGGAUUCGUAUUAAUGACAUGAAUAGUAUCAGUACUAAAAAUACACCCUAUUUAUAAAUAUAAAAGCUAUAUGUAUGUACGGAUAAGAUGCGCCUCGUCCUCCUGUAUGUUGUGUUCCAGACGAUAUUUGCGACGUCCAUCUUUCAUUUGUCUCUGUCAUUUGUUAAGAGGUUGAGAUUCAUCAUGUGAACAGUCUACGGAGUGUGACGUCAUCGGCAUCUUAAGGUUCGCGUUCUCGAGUGACCGCACCUGGACGCAUUUCUCUCCGUCACUUGAUACCCUACGGCCUACAAGGUUAUAAUAGGCACUACACUCGUACUAUAAACUAUGUUGUGCCACGCUCGCUGAGGGUGACUUACGACAUUCUCGUGGUUCCUACAUCGGACCUAUCAGACUCACUGACUGUCACAUCUUCUAUGCAACCCCUGUAUUAUCAUAAUGCAUGGAGUAUUUUAUGUCACGAUAAAAAAACUAGUUUAAAUCCAAUAAAAAAAUAUGCGAUAGUGAAUACUUAAUUAAGUGAAAACUCCUCCGCAUUCAUUAUCAUGGGUCAAAAAUAACUUACAUCAUUGGACUUUAUCACCUUUGAACUCAUAUUAACUGAACCUAGCUAAGAUCUAAUGCAAGGAUCCUGGGGUUCAAAUGAAAAAAACAGCAUCGAAAUUAGCCGAUUCGUUUGAGAGCUACGAGGCCACAGACGGACACACACACAAACAUCGACGUCAAAUAUAUAUGCUCUUUGGCAUCGUUGAAAAUGAUGUUUAGUAAAUGUCUCGAUGAACAAAUUAUUUCUCUUUAAAGGAACGCGUUGUGACGGACGCGGACUAAACUUUCUCAUCUUUUAGAAACUAAAUGCCUACAUCAUAAUAAAUCACAAAACACAGAAACUAGCUUACAUCGUAUUUGUAAGUCGAAACGUUCAACUUUACUGACCUUGACCGAAGCUUGACUCAGCAGUCAGAGGCUGACCGUCAAAGUCCUUCUACAAACUAUUUUAUGCCUACAAGGGACUUCACUCCGAGAGAGCUGACGAAGAGGUGUAUCAACUUAUCUUAGUCUGAACUUCCCAGUUCUUGAUCCAAGCGAUGGUUGAUUUAAAUUCGUAGGGAAUCAAAAUUAAAAUUUUGUACUUGAUAAUAAACUUUUA
This is a long non-coding RNA of Danaus plexippus (monarch butterfly), 1887 nucleotides long. RefSeq lists it as uncharacterized. The record is from RefSeq and is a predicted model, not a curated record. The transcript is spliced from 3 exons. Lineage: Eukaryota; Metazoa; Arthropoda; Insecta; Lepidoptera; Nymphalidae.